This 386-nucleotide long non-coding RNA is filed under the name Brassica rapa (field mustard). RNAcentral's name for it is "long non-coding RNA (BRAP_LNC001630)". The record is from RNAcentral. Lineage: Eukaryota; Viridiplantae; Streptophyta; Magnoliopsida; Brassicales; Brassicaceae.
UUGUAUUCAUAGUAAGUUUUUCGGUUUGGCUGGAGAGGCAAGUGAUAGUAAACGAGGAUGAAGUAAGAGACCCAUCCAUGGAACUGUAUUGCAAGGUCAAGAGCAGCGAAAGCAGCGGAGACAGGUUCCUGAAGGUGCAUAUGAGGAACAUUACUUCAAAACAAGUGCUGAGUUUGUUUCUCUUGAAGCUGAGAGUAUGCAAAGAGGAAGUUACCUGAAUGCCAUAGACAUGUUUGAGUGGCCAUUUACCGAAGUACUUGGUAGGUUUCUCACCGUCUCUUUUCCUCUCUUCUUCUCUAGUCAUCAUGCAUUCGUAUUGACAAUCACUUUGGCAAUCCCACUGCUUCCAUCGCAGGUAAAGUGGCUCUUGCAUGUACCAUGGACCG